Lytechinus pictus (painted urchin) is the source of this 543-nucleotide long non-coding RNA. RefSeq lists it as uncharacterized. Lineage: Eukaryota; Metazoa; Echinodermata; Echinoidea; Temnopleuroida; Toxopneustidae. The transcript has 3 exons. The record is from RefSeq and is a predicted model, not a curated record.
AGAAUUUCAGUUGUUCACUAUCAAACAUGAACGUGUCAAUGGCGAUGGUUUGUGAUGGAUAUUACGACUGUGAUCAUUACGAGGAUGAAUCAAAUUGCAAUAAUCCAGCUAUUUAUCUAAAGGAAGGGGAAUUGCACUCAAUCUCCAUACCACGCAACUACACAAGACGAUUUUACCACCUAACCGUGCUACAAACAAAUGAUACGAAUGGAUUUCGAAUCGUGUUCCAAGAUUUAUCUCUCAGUUCUACUAAUCAAGUCCAAAUAGGGACAGGUACUGAUCCAGCUGAUCCACAGUCCGUCACCAAAACUAUCUCUGGAUCUACAUCUUGCUGUCCUUGGGAUGUCUACAUAGAGACCAAUAAGAUGUGGAUUGCUGUCGUAGGCGGACUGACUUACACCAAUCUUAAGAUUAAUGCGGACAUCAUUGCUUUCAACCUUUCAACUCUGUUUAAUUGUCCAAUGAGCAAUAUAAACGUGUCAUCGGAUGUUCUCUGUGAUGGAGUGUACCAUUGUGAUCAUUAUGAAGACGAAUCAACAUGCA